This is a non-coding RNA of Pimephales promelas (fathead minnow), 564 nucleotides long. The record is from RefSeq and is a predicted model, not a curated record. NCBI's taxonomy places the organism in Eukaryota, Metazoa, Chordata, Actinopteri, Cypriniformes, Leuciscidae.
GUGCCGUAUGCUAACACUUUCUGACAAAGUGCUAUUUUGUCAGAUUUACGGUGUUAAAAUUCUGCGGAGAUCUGAAGUGAACUCAAAGUGACGUGAACGCCCUUUGAGGACACAAUAAGCUUUGGGAAAGUAAUGCAACACAGCACUAUUCUUGGACACUCGUCUCACUGACCAGGUCUGCCACGGGGGACCUGCGGUGUAGCUGAAUCUGUCUCUCCACCUCCACCUGCAUGCGGGCCAUGGGCCGGGCCAGAGCCAGAGCCACACGCGCCUCCUCCUGCAGCCGACGCUGUAACCGCCAGAACUCCGAAUCCUCCGAGUCCAGGUCUUCCUCUCCUGUGUCCCGGUCAGACAGAGAUGAACUCUGUUUACUCUAUAGGGAGACAGAGGAAAAACAAACAAAAAAUAACUGCUCAGUUAAGUUUCAUGAGUUUCAGUUUCAAAAUGCAGAACUCUGUGUAAUAGACACUGAAGAACAUUGUGGCGUGUACCAUAGGUGACAAUGGGGUGUCCAGGCUGGUUUCUGUUCUGCUGUCCUCGGCAUCGCUGUCUCUGUCACUGCUG